Molecule: non-coding RNA, 4485 nt
Organism: Zootoca vivipara (common lizard)
Lineage: Eukaryota; Metazoa; Chordata; Lepidosauria; Squamata; Lacertidae
Source: RefSeq, a predicted model, not a curated record
UGGGCGAAGGAGAGGCUCCGGGGCCAUUUUGUGAGCGAACGUCGCCGUUAGAUCAGCUGCUGCUGCUGUUGCUGCUUCUCUGUCCCUCCGCGUCCGCUCUGCCUGCCUCCCUCUGCCUGCCCGGGCCUCGCCGGCUGCUUGCCUCCCUCCCUCCCUCUCUUGUCUCUCUCUUUCUCGGCCCCCGCUUCCUCUCGCUGCUGAACCUGAGGGAGCCCCGGGCGAACGCAGCCGCGGUCUUUUCCCCCCCGAGCAGCGCCCAGCCACAGAAUCGCAUGUCCACUAUCCAGAACCUCCAAUCCUUCGGUAAGAAGCGGCGGCCCCCGCGCAGCUAGCGCAGGAUCGGACGGGGAUUGGCGCAAAGGGCCGGCAGCGAAGACGCCCCACCUCCGCCCCGUGCUCCCCCGGUCUUUGGUGGAGGGAAAUUGGGCUCGGGGAUGCCCAUCCCAGGUGUCUGUUAUCCUGGCAGCAAACGGGGUGCGCAUAAGGGGGGGUCCCCUCUUGCCUCCGUCCCCCCUGCCCUUCCUCUUCCCCCCGGCAAAGCCUAUGCAUCCCUUUGCGCAGCAUCCAGGAGGUUGAAAUAAACGGGUGCAUGGAUGGAGCGUGCAAUAUUUUUGGGGGGGGGGUCCCAGCAGAGACACCUCUUUCCCUACGCUGCGCCCAGUCCAUUAAUUUUGUUAAGCUGCAAGGGUUUGCUGCGGAAGAUGCCCCGGUUGGCACGGGGCUUUGCAUUUUCCUGCCCCUGGUCUUACAAAGGGAAGGUGAGCUGUGCCAGCCUUUGCCCCUCUGUGCUUGCCCCCACACCCUUCACCCUCUCUCCUUUCACGCAGAGUUGAUUCCUUGCUAUGGGGCCGGGACACAUCUGCUUGACCCCUGCUAUCUAAAAACGUUGGGUGCUCAAUGGCUUAAAAGUGCCUUCCUGGAGGCCGUGUGUUUUGUGAAUGGGAGGGCCAGAGUUCUUCCCACCAAAUGUCAAAGAGAAAAACAACUACCAGACUUUUAGAAGACAUCUGAAGACAGCCCUGUUUAGGGAAGCUUUUAAUGUUUGAUGGACUAGUGUAUUUUAAUAUUUUGUUGGAAGUCGCCCUGGGGAAACCCAGCCAGAUGGGCGGGGUAUAAAUAAAUAAAUAAAUAAAUAAAUAUAUUAUUAUUAAUAAUAAUUAUGGUAUCACUUUAACAGGCUUCUGCUGUGUUCUGCUAGUUGGCGAUUGCUUUGCUAACUGGGACUUGAGGGUGUAGCUUGUGGGUUUCCCCAAACUUGGGUUGCCAGCUGUUUUUGGACUACAGUUGCCAUCAUCCCCGAACACCGAAGCUGCUAGCUAGGGAUAAUGGGAGUUGUAAUCCAGAAACAGUUGGAGACUCAGAUUUUGGAAACACUGGUCUAGGUUAAAACACUUUAUUAACCUCGGUCCACAUUGUAUAGUCCUCUGUUAAGACUUUGUUUGCUGAUGUAAACUCUAGUAAACUCCUGCUCCCGUUACCAAUAUCUUUGUGACAAAUCAUUGAGUAAGGUAUCAAUGCAACACCCUCUAUAUAGCUGGCUAGCCUAAUGCACAGGACCUUGUCCACUGACUCAACCGAUCCAGCUAUUUCCAUUUGGUGGCUGACAAACGUCUGUUAUUACUGCAUUGACCAAAUUUGGUUUGUAGCCUACUGUAGACUCUUCCACAUUUGUAUUGCCAGUUGUUGAUAUAAAGCUGUGCUAACAGCGUAUUUAAGAACUGGGAUAAAAUGCAACCUCCUGGCCAGCAAGGGUAAGGUUAGUGGAGUAGUAGCAAGUCUUGCAUCCUCAGCCCUUUCACUUGCCCUGCCAGGAUUGAAGCUGGGGCCCAGGGGACCCUUGUUGGUAAUGGGAAGAGGCCUAAACUGGGUCUGUUGCUGUCACACAAUGGCAGAAGGGCCAACUCUGGAUCCGGUGGAUUUUGUACCAGCAAGCUCUUCUCUCUUUCUUUUUCUUUUAGGGAGGUUGUGUUCUGCUAGCUAUCAACAGCAGGAAUGUAACACCAGUGGUAGCUUCCACCGACUUAACUUUUCCUCCCCAACAGAAGGACUGGGUGGAGGGACCCCUUUGCCUCAAGAAAUCCCCUCCCCCCCCUCCCAGCAUUGCGGUUCAGGAAUUUGGCUUGCUCUGCCCAUUUGACAUCUUGCUAGCUGUCUGGGCAGCUCAGAUCACCAGCCCUGCAGUUCAUUCCUGCACAGUUCUCAGAGCUAUAAUGACAGAAACUUUCCCUCUCCUUUCAUUUGCUAACUUAAAACUUGUAUUUUUGGGGGGGGCGGGGGCAGGGGGAGAGCUGCCUUGUCGCAUGUUCUUUCUUGAGGGGAUCAAUGUUCUUGAGGGAUCUAUUUGACAUUAUUCUCCUGAGGAGCAUUCAGUGAAGUGAUUCCCUCCCCUCCUGUCUAUGCUUAGGGGGUGGGGAACCUGUGCCCCCCCAGAUGAUGAUGGAUUACAGUGCUCAUCAUCCCAGGUCAGGCUGGAAAAGCUAAUGAGAGUUGGGAGUCCAGCAACAUCUCUCUCUCUCUCUCUUUCUCCCCCCCCCCAGCCUAGGCAAAGCUUUUGUACCUCAGACUCCCCAUUUUCUCCUACCAGUCUUGAGGUCAAUUUCUCCUCUAUCCAGGGAAUUUAUUUUGUGGUAUUCUUCUUUCUAUGCAAAGAGCCCUCAUUUUAUCGUUGUCCUAGCCAUCAGUUCUAAAAUUGCACUCCUUGAUUUGCAUUUAACACAGAUACAUCCACCUUGCCGGGAAUAAACUUCCUGAUCUGUUGCAAACAGCUUUUUUGAGGACCUUUUCAUUUGUAGGGGUUUAUGCCUGAAUUGGAUAGGACUUUAGAAUGUGUCAAUUGCUAAGGGAGGGAAAGGUGGAAAAUUGAUCAUGGUUUUUCAGUCUGACUCCGCUUUGACUCUGCUCUUUCAGUUGGGGAGUGCAGAUUUUGUGGGCUUGGUCUCUGCAGCUAAGGGUAGGACAGGAGCAGUAGAAGAUCCUUCAGCUAAAAUUCUGCCGUAUUCUCCCAUAAUCCACUUUCUGCUUCACAGAACACAGCACCAUUUUAAGGAGUUCGCAGAGGUAGUCAACCUUUGUCUAAGCUCUGACUGCAGGGAGGGAGGUUAUAUGACUCGCUGCUCCUCAUUCAGAAUAAAAACAUGAAAAACAAUAAGAUUCUUUAACCCUCCUUCAGCCGGAACUGUGGCACAGGCUUGUAGCCUCUCAGAGCUAGACUUGGUCAUACUGUAUUGGAGUCUGUGAACACGUUUUUGCAACUUUUGCAGUGACGCAGAAGUAGCCUGAUGGGAGUUGGAGCCAAUGACGCUCAUAGGGCCAGAGUUUCCUCAUUCAUGCAAUACGAUUUGAAUGCUAGGGCCAUGUAGAAUUCUCUGCCUUCCCUCAUUGUACAGCUUGUACCCGGUGUUUAUAUUGGACUUGCCCUUGCCUCCCCUUGUUAACUUGCCAAAGCAUUACCUCUAGGUUCAUUGUGCAGCUGCAGGGGGGCUCCUAUGUGUCAAUGGGUAAGCCCAACAGGCCUCUCCAGUGCCUGGUGUGAACCGACAGUGUACCUUGGAAGUGGCCCCAGAAUCUCCCCUCUACAAUGCACAGGAGUUGCAUGGCAGACUGCUGUGGAAGGAGUUCUUUGAAGACCCCUUUGCUGAUGCAACUAAGGGUGACGACUUACUCCCGGCAGGGACUGAAGACUACAUUCAUAUAAGGAUCCAGCAACGAAACGGCAGAAAGACACUAACUACUGUUCAAGGAAUUGCAGAUGACUAUGACAAAAAGAAGCUUGUGAAAGCCUUCAAAAAGGUAGAGCUGUUCUUCUCCUAGGUCCUGAAGUUUUUGAUCUUGAAAGAGAAAUGCAUGUAGAUCAAAAAUUUCCAGUGGGAAAGUGAAAGAUCAAACGCUGUGACAGGCGUGUUAAAUGUUUUGGUUGAGACAGCUUUCCAGUAUAAGACCAUUUCAGAUGUUGAAUGCACUGACAGGAGCAGCCAGUCUUAACUGAAAAAAAAUAUGUUUGAGCAGUGUGCUGGUCAAUUUAGUUGCAAUAACCAGCUUUCAUGCUCUUUUCUACAAUUGUCACUGUCUAGGAAUGGAUCCAGACCCUUUAAAAUGACUUUAAAGCCACAUAAGGAGAUAUAUUGCUGCAAAAGAAAUUUGCCUGUAAUGGUACUGUGAUUGAGCACCCGGAAUACGGGGAGGUGAUCCAGCUGCAAGGGGACCAGAGGAAGAACAUUUGCCAGUUCCUCCUAGAGGUUCUAACUGCUGCGGGCUUACUGCCAUCUCCUUCUCUUCUGCAGGUUGGCAUUGUCAAGGAGGAGCAGCUGAAAGUUCACGGCUUCUAAAAUGUGUGUGUUUACAUGAAGAACUUCUGCAGGUUUUGUUCUUACCCAAGCUGGCUACUCUGUGAAAAAUGAUUCUUUGCAGUCGAUGGACUUCCCAUUCAAAACCUUAUUUGCUUUUGCAUGACUACAGAAAACAUAUGGAGUGUAGGCUAGAAACACA